GGCUUUAUAUAGGGGAGGGGGCGUGGCCAAAAGGAAGUGGGCGGGGCUUAAGAGGAAAUUGGGGGCGUGGCCUCGGGGGGAACCGCGAAACCCCGCUGGGUUUUGGCCACGCCCCCUUUUCCGGUUGCGGUUAAUGGGGUGGGCGGGGCUUAAAGGGGGCGGGGCUUAAAUGAAGGAGGCGUGGCUUAGAGAGAAGGGGCGUGGCUUCGGUGUUCCCCUUUGCUCUGACCACGCCCCCUUCUUUCCGUAUAUGGCAAUAGGGGCGUGGCCUCGGUGUCCCGCCCUGUUCUGACCACGCCCCCUUCUUUCCGUAUAUGGCAAUGUGGGCGGGGCUUGAAUGGAUGGAGGCGUGGUUUAAUCGUAGCCCCGCCCCCUCGCCGACCCCACUCACCCCACACCCUUUAUUCGCCCUAUAGGACACAGGGGACGUUAUCAAGUUCUGGUGGCACCUUUAUUGGUUCCAUCUGCUCCUGCCCUGACCCCCCCCACCCCCCCAUGGUGGCCCUGGGGGUCCCCAAGGUGGACAUGGGGGUCCCAUUGGUGACUAUGGGGGUCCCAUUGGGGGUCCCAUUGGUGGUACUGUCCCCAUUGGUGACUAUGGGGGUCCCACUGGGGGUCCUGGGGGUCCCAUUAAUGGCUAUGGGGGUCCCAUUGGUGACUAUGGGGGUCCUGGGGGUCCCAUUGGUGACUAUGGGGGUCCCAUUGGUGGUCCUGUCCCCAUUGGUGGUCCUGGGGGUCCUGGGGGUCCCAUUGGUGGCUAUGGGGGUCCCCAAGGUGGCCAUGGGGGUCCCAUUGGUGACUAUGGGGGUCCCAUUGGUGGCCAUGGGGGUCCCAUUGGUGACUAUGGGGGUCCCAUUGGUGGUCCUGUCCCCAUUGGUGGCCCUGGGGGUCCCCAAGGUGGCCCUGGGGGUCCCACUGGUGACUAUGGGGGUCCCAUUGGUGACUAUGGGGGUCCCUUUGGUGGUCCUGUCCCCAUUGGUGACUAUGGGGGUCCCAUUGGUGGUCCCAUUCCCAAGGUGGCCAUGGGGAUCCUAUUGGUUGUCCUGGGGGUCCCCAUUUAGUGGCUCUGGGGGUCCCAUAGGUGGUCCCAUCCCAUUAGUGGCCCUGGGGGGUUUCAUUGGUGGCACAGGGGGUCCUCAAGGUGGUCCUGUCCCCAUUGGGGUCCCAUUUAGUGGCAUUGGGGACCCUUUGGCGUCCCUAUGGUGUCCCUAUAGUGGCCAUAGGGUCCCAUUAGUGACCCUGGGGUCCCUAUGGUGUCCCUAUGGUGUCCCUAUGGCGUCCCUAUAGUGGCCAUAGGGUC
RNAcentral lists this long non-coding RNA (1300 nucleotides) under Coturnix japonica (Japanese quail). RNAcentral describes it as "lncRNA (ENSCJPG00005002844.1)". The record is from RNAcentral. Lineage: Eukaryota; Metazoa; Chordata; Aves; Galliformes; Phasianidae.